This 465-nucleotide ribosomal RNA is filed under the name Vreelandella stevensii. Its description in RNAcentral is "partial 16S ribosomal RNA". It matches the Rfam family "Bacterial small subunit ribosomal RNA", at positions 338 to 795 of the family's 1533-position model. Lineage: Bacteria; Pseudomonadati; Pseudomonadota; Gammaproteobacteria; Oceanospirillales; Halomonadaceae. The record is from RNAcentral.
CCUACGGGCGGCUGCAGUGGGGAAUAUUGGACAAUGGGGGGAACCCUGAUCCAGCCAUGCCGCGUGUGUGAAGAAGGCCCUCGGGUUGUAAAGCACUUUCAGUGAGGAAGAACGCCUGGUGGUUAAUACCCAUCAGGAAAGACAUCACUCACAGAAGAAGCACCGGCUAACUCCGUGCCAGCAGCCGCGGUAAUACGGAGGGUGCAAGCGUUAAUCGGAAUUACUGUGCGUAAAGCGCGCGUAGGUGGCUUGAUAAGCCGGGUGUGAAAGCCCCGGGCUCAACCUGGGAACGGCAUCCGGAACUGUCAAGCUAGAGUGCAGGAGAGGAAGGUAGAAUUCCCGGUGUAGCGGUGAAAUGCGUAGAGAUCGGGAGGAAUACCAGUGGCGAAGGCGGCCUUCUGGACUGACACUGACACUGAGGUGCGAAAGCGUGGGUAGCAAACAGGAUUAGAUACCCCAGUAGUC